GCUCAGGGUGUCGAGGUUGUCGUGCUCCGUUGUAGGUUCAGCUGGCGGUAGUUGGGUUGCUAGCUGCUGCCGGUGCAAUCCUCAGCGGAGUUUGACCGUCAGUUGGGAAGAGAUUGGGUCCUGUUAAAUCGGUGGUCGGGAGGUAAGCCUUGCGGUUCACUUGUGGUUCCCGGGGUGACGUAUAGCCGCUCCACCGUGGUCUCGAUCGUCUUUCAGGUGCGUUUGGAUGUCUUUUCGUCCGGAAUGGGAAGGUGCAGACUCCUCGGAGUUCGGGCCAGUUGCGGAGUUGCUGUGCCGUGCUGAGAUYGUGUUCCGUGCCCUUUCCGUUAUGUUUCGGCGUGCGGGGAGGUGUACGGCACGUCCGGUACGUGUUGUGGUCUCUCGUGGCUGCGUUCCAAGUUCUGUGCC
Molecule: ribosomal RNA, 408 nt
Filed under: Demospongiae sp. GW26967
Lineage: Eukaryota; Metazoa; Porifera; Demospongiae
Description: partial 28S large subunit ribosomal RNA
Source: RNAcentral